AAACAUUCACUUGUUUUCUAUUCUGUUAUAAUACCAGUUGAAUUUGAAGGCUUUGGGGUGCCUCAGGGUUCUAUUCUGGAUCCUGUUUUCUUUGUAUAUGCUGCCCCUGGGUUCCAUUUUUAGAAAUUACAACAUCCAGUUUCACUGUUUUGCAGAUGAUGUGCAAAUCUACUUGUCCCUUAAAUCUUAAAGCCU
Molecule: long non-coding RNA, 195 nt
Organism: Sphaeramia orbicularis (orbiculate cardinalfish)
Lineage: Eukaryota; Metazoa; Chordata; Actinopteri; Kurtiformes; Apogonidae
Exons: 3
Source: RefSeq, a predicted model, not a curated record